This 332-nucleotide transfer-messenger RNA is filed under the name Bryobacterales bacterium. RNAcentral's name for it is "partial transfer-messenger RNA". It matches the Rfam family "transfer-messenger RNA". Rfam says of the family: Bacterial tmRNA, also known as 10Sa RNA or SsrA, is named for its dual tRNA and mRNA-like properties. Lineage: Bacteria; Pseudomonadati; Acidobacteriota; Terriglobia; Bryobacterales. The record is from RNAcentral.
CGGGAUUGAAUCGUGAUGGAAAGGCGUGCCGGGUUCCGAGCUCCCGUAAAACGAUCGGAAAACCAUAACUGCCAAUCAGCAGUUUGCAUUCGCCGCCUAAGUAAUUAGGUAGCCGCUCCGGCUCCGGAGCCCGCAUCGGAGCUAGUGGGCGUCAUCAGGCGGGAUAGGCCGAGGGCUUCGGUCCGUAGCCGCAGGCCGAGAUCAACCGGGCUAGGCGUGCGCCGUUCUUGCCGGCUCUAAAGCGCGCGCCGAAUCUCAGGAGUCGGCUACGCACGUAGGCGUUCCAUGGCGGGCUUUCUCGGACGCGGGUUCAACUCCCGCCGCCUCCACCA